GUCCCUUACGGACAUCUAAUAAAAUUGGAACGAUACAGAGAAGAUUAACAUAACCCCUAGUCAAGGAUGAAACACACAAAUCAAGAAAUGGUCAAAAAAAUU
Molecule: non-coding RNA, 102 nt
Organism: Solanum tuberosum (potato)
Lineage: Eukaryota; Viridiplantae; Streptophyta; Magnoliopsida; Solanales; Solanaceae
Source: Rfam